RNAcentral lists this transfer RNA (83 nucleotides) under Gemmatimonadales bacterium. Its description in RNAcentral is "tRNA-Leu". It matches the Rfam family "tRNA". From Rfam's summary of the family: Transfer RNA (tRNA) molecules are approximately 80 nucleotides in length. Their secondary structure includes four short double-helical elements and three loops (D, anti-codon, and T loops). Lineage: Bacteria; Pseudomonadati; Gemmatimonadota; Gemmatimonadia; Gemmatimonadales. RNAcentral also lists the same sequence under 1 other name. The record is from RNAcentral.
GCCCGAGUGGCGGAAUGGCAGACGCAGUGGACUCAAAAUCCACCGAGGGCAACCUCGUGCGAGUUCGACUCUCGCCUCGGGCA